RNAcentral lists this ribosomal RNA (177 nucleotides) under uncultured bacterium. Its description in RNAcentral is "partial 16S ribosomal RNA". It matches the Rfam family "Bacterial small subunit ribosomal RNA", at positions 338 to 507 of the family's 1533-position model. The record is from RNAcentral.
CCUACGGGAGGCAGCAGUGGGGAAUUUUGGACAAUGGGCGCAAGCCUGAUCUAGCCAUGCCGCGUGCAGGAUGAAGGCCUUCGGGUUGUAAACUGCUUUUGUACGGAACGAAAAGCCUCUUUCUAAUAAAGGGAGGUCAUGACGGUACCGUAAGAAUAAGCACCGGCUAACUACGUG